UUGCUUACACAGCACUGUUAAUGAACCCACCUCCCACUUCAGUCACAAAAUGCAAGUAUUGUUCCAAUUUAGUAUUUCUAAAGGCACAUCAUGAUGGAGACAUUUAGAAAACUACUGAAAAUUAUUUCCUGUGUAGUCUCCAGUUCAUAUUUCCUUUUUUUUAAUUUUAUCUCCUCCAUAGUUAUGAUCUAAUGAGUUUACUUACUAUUGGUAACUUACUUUCACAAUUAACUCAAAUGUGAUUUCCAUAUUAUUUGUUUUGUUAAAAACCAACUUUUCCGUAUAAGUUUAGCUCUGCUCCCUGAUAUGGCAUGCUUCCAAAUUAAAUCUGAAACUGGAAAAGUCAAUGAUUAAACGGUGUUGUAACAGAGGUUAAAAGCUCUGCCAGGAAUGAUGGAUGCACUUUGCUUUUGCAGUGAACAUUCCUGGUGAUGUCAGCUGCUCCAUGCUAUACUCACCUAUACAGAAAAACUACUGUGUCUGUGACUGGGGCACUAAGAGGCUAAGGCAGUUCUGGCAAUAAGAUGAAAUGGGCAGAAAAAACUUUCUUUGAUUUAAAAUUCAAUGUAAGGAGACUGAAGAUAACCCUGAAUGAAACUGGAAGAAAGCAUGCGUUUCCUGGUAAAAAUGAGAAGCUAAUACAUUUGCAAAAUUCUUCUGUGUCCUUCUCAGGCGGCUUAGGCUGUUCGGAAGACCAGAUGAAUUGUGUGAGGUUGAGUAUUAGCUCUCGCUUCAGAACACACCAGCCUGGACUGAGAAGUUAACAUUGUUUUAAGCAAACUGCAGUGGCAGUACAGCAUGAGCAACUCGUAUAUAAAGACAGGUGCUGACUUCAGAAUGAGGAGAAAGGUGAGUGUGCAGAGGGUAAGUAUUGAGCACAAGAACAAACAGGACAAUACUGCAUGACACUGUGUAUUAAAACUACUGGUUACAUACUUUUCCUAGUUUUCUUUUUCCAGUCUUGUGUGAAAAGUCUUGCUGGCAGUAAGGAUGGAGUAAAAUCUGGGAAAAGCUAGGCACCUCUGAUUCAUUUGCAUCUUGUUUGUCAACCAGAGACUUUGAGAUGUUGUAUUUCACAAGAUUUCCCUAGCGAUCAAACACAGAAAAACAUAAUUCCCAAGGAUUUAACAUUCUCAGACAAGAGCUGGUCUGGGUCCUUAAUGCAUUAUUCAGUAAAAAAGGCAGUGUAAGCGAGUGAAUGAAUUUGUCCAGUCAAGUCUGUAAUAAUAAAAAAGGCACAAGAAUAAGUUUUUUACUUUUG
This 1261-nucleotide long non-coding RNA is filed under the name Cyanistes caeruleus (blue tit). RNAcentral's name for it is "lncRNA (ENSCCEG00000009974.1)". The record is from RNAcentral. Lineage: Eukaryota; Metazoa; Chordata; Aves; Passeriformes; Paridae.